Molecule: ribosomal RNA, 494 nt
Filed under: uncultured bacterium
Lineage: Bacteria
Description: partial 16S ribosomal RNA
Rfam family: Bacterial small subunit ribosomal RNA
Source: RNAcentral
GACGAACGCUGGCGGCGUGCUUAACACAUGCAAGUCGAACGGAAAGGCCUGCUUUCCCUUGUGGAUUGCGGGUACUCGAGUGGCGAACGGGUGAGUAACACGUGAGUGAUCUGCCCCCAACUUGGGUAUAAGCCUGGGAAACUGGGUCUAAUUCCCGAUAGGACUGCAGGGUGGUGCCUGUGGUGGAAAACGAUUUUCUAGUGGUUGGGGAUGAGCUCGCGGCCUAUCAGCUUGUUGGUGGGGUAAUGGCCUACCAAGGCGGCGACGGGUAGCCGGCCUGGGAGGGUGGACGGCCACAUUGGGACUGAGAUACGGCCCAGACUCCUACGGGAGGCAGCAGUGGGGAAUAUUGCACAAGGGGCGGAAGCCUGAUGCAGCGACGCCGCGUGGGGGAUGACGGCCUUCGGGUUGUAAACUCCUUUCGACCGCGAGGAAGCCACCUGGUUGGAAGGGUGGUGACGGUAGUGGUAGAAGAAGCACCGGCUAACUACGUG